Molecule: ribosomal RNA, 364 nt
Filed under: uncultured eukaryote
Lineage: Eukaryota
Description: partial 18S ribosomal RNA
Rfam family: Eukaryotic small subunit ribosomal RNA
Source: RNAcentral
CAAAAGCGUAUAUUAAAGUUGUUGCAGUUAAAAAGCUCGUAGUUGAACCUUGGGCUUGGCUGGCCGGUCCAUCUUUUUUGAUGCGUACUGGACCCAGCCGAGCCUUUCCUUCUGGCUAGCCUUUUGGCGAACCAGGACUUUUACUUUGAAAAAAUUAGAGUGUCCAAAGCAGGCCUUUGCUCGAAUAUAUUAGCAUGGAAUAAUAGAAUAGGACGUUAUGGUUCUAUUUUGUUGGUUUCUAGGACCAUCGUAAUGAUUAAUAGGGACGGUCGGGGGUAUCAGUAUUCAGUUGUCAGAGGUGAAAUUCUUGGAUUUACUGAAGACUAACUACUGCGAAAGCAUUUACCAAGGACGUUUUCAUUAA